UUCUUACAGCAUCUUCUCCAUAGACUCCAAUAGAGAUACAUGGAGGAGGACUUCAGACAAGUGAGAGACACAUUUGGAAGGAGAGAAUAGUGGGCCCCAGGGGUCCAGGCCCUUCAAACAGAACUGAGCAGUGGUGGAGCAGCAUCAAUAAAGGUAGCAAAGAACUGGAGCUGUGGAAAUGUCUCAGUCAAUAAAGUCCUUACCACACAAGUACAAGGACCUGAUGUCAGAUCCUCAGCACCCAUGUAAGAAGCUGGGUACAGGGACACGGCUGAGAAGGCAAAGGAGGACCCCAGAGCUCACUGGCCAGACAGCCUCACCAAUGCAGUGAGUUCUAAUCACUGUGUCAGAAGAUCGGCUGGAGAGCAAAGAGAGAAGACACAACUGACUCCUGCCCUGUGCAUGAUGUAUACACAAACAUAGGUACAACACUUGCUAUACACACACGCGCACGCGCGCACGCACACACACACACACACACACACUUAAAACUAGCCAAAUGUAUGGAAGAUAAUGAUGCAGGUAUAAAACAAGGCCAGGAAGCUGCCUCAGUGAUUAAAGCCUUGUGGUCUGAGUGCACAUAAAGAGGUAGUAGGAAAGAACAGACUACACAGAGUUGUCCUCUCUCUCUCUCUCUCUCUCUCUCUCUCUCUCUCUCUCUCUCACACACACACACACACACACACACACACACACACACACACACACACAUACACACACACACACACACACAAUGAGAGGGGAGGAUAAAAAUUUCAAAUGUAAUAAGGUGGCAUGUCAAAAGCCGUGAGGGAACACUGAUCUUUUUAAAGAAAAUAUAUUCAGUCAGGUCUACAAAAAAGGAUUAUUAGAUCAACACAGUAUUUGUAACAACAAAAUAUCAAAUGGAGCAUGGAUCCAAAUUAAAAACUAAAAUCAUACAAGUACUCAGAAUAAAAUGUUAGUAAACUCCUUUCCACAAUGUAAGAAAAGGUUUUUCAAUUUCCAAACAAGAUUCAAAUAAACAAGACUAAGAAACUAAACUACAUAAAAGCCUGAACACUGACACCAAGCACUACGAAUAACAGAUGAAUGAACUGGAAUAAAACCUUAGGGAAGCAGAGCAUGGUGGCUCACUGAUCUCCGUAAGUUCAAGACAGCCUGGACUAGAGUGAGACCUUGUCACUACUCACCACCCUUGCCCCAAGAGAAAGCAAACCUGCUAAAAAGCUAAACUAUAUUGAGAUUCCAGUUAGACAAAGUUUUUUUUUUUUUUUUUUUUUUUUUGGUUCUUUUUUUUCGGAGCUGGGGACCAAACCCAGGGCCUUGCGCUUCCCAGGCAAGCACUCUACCACUGAGCUAAAUCCCCAACCCCAACAAAGUUUUAAGAAUGUAACAAACCCCUCUAAGGGUUUCCCUCUGAGCGGAAACUAACAUACAUUUCCAGUGAGAACUGAAAUUUGUACUGUUCCUUCAGAAAGGAAGUUUCUAAUGUCUAAUAAAACUAUAUGGAAUUUGGUCACCCCUCAAUUGUGGAUCAAAAAUAUGCCCCCCCCAACCCCUUCACACUUAUCAUUAUUUCCUACUUGUCCUACAAUAAAAAUGGAAGGCUUCUGUAGGCUUUUUCUAAUUAACCAGCUAACUCAAAAAUUAAGGAAGGCACAUUUUUCCUCUUCCACAGUAGUGCUCUUUCUGCAAAAGUAUUGUUACUAAUACUUUACCUCUCACUUAUUAAAAUUAUGACAGUAUAGCAUCUCAAUAAGAAUAUCCUAGUCUUGUGUCUAUAUGCAUAAAUGUGUAUGGUAUGUACAUGGUCAUAGGUAUGCAAGUGAACAUACAUGCUCACAUCUACAUGUAGAAAGAAGCCAGAGAUCAACAUUUAGUGUCAUUCUCAAUCACUCUUUUUUUGAAAUAGGGUCUCUCUUUGAUCCUGAAUCUCACCAACAUGCUGGGGCUAGUUGGUUAAAAAGAUCUAGCUGUCCCAUCUCCAGGGAUGGGAUUACAGGCAAACGUCACCAUGUUGGUUUUUUUAUAUGGGUACUGGGGAUCCAAACUCAGAUCCUUACUUUAUAGGAUUGAGCUAUCCUACCAAGUCCCAGAAUAUCUAAUGAGUAAAUUCAGUCUGUGGGGAAGGUGAGCAAAAUGUACAUAACACAUGUAAUAUUGCUGCCCCCUCCCCCCAAGUCCUAGUAACAGACAUAAGACCCAAAUCCACAAAGAAAGAGAAUAGCAAGAAGAAAAAAAAAGCAACAAAUUUUUGAAGCUAGAGCAUAGAAAGGUAUAUACAAGAUUAGCAUUUUUUUCAAAGAUUGUGUUCCUGAUCAGGCAGUCUAUGUAAUAUAUGGUGGUCCCAUCCUUUUGACAAGUACAAGAAGCCACAGGAAGAAAACAUGAAUGGAAAACAAUACCCAACAUUAGAGAGAAGUAAAAGAAUGCCAGUAAAUGCGGCUUCCAGAAUAAUUGUGCAUCAAAAGUCAAAAGUCCCCAAUCCAGAACAAAAGCUAGGUAACAACAGGUAUAUUACUUAAGGACUGCCACUCUCCCACUCUUGACUAGAGUGCCAUCUUUUUAAUCAGACACUACUAGAGGGCGUGUUCCAACUAAGCAAGAGGGUAAAUGAAGAAUGAGGAAGAUAUGAGUUCUGACAAGACUGGAAAUCAAACCCAGGAGAGAAGUCUGCAGAUUACAACAAAGGGAAAUCAUUCUAGGAAAAGAACUGUGCAGUAGGCCCAGAGAUCCAUCACUCAAAUAGUAGGAUAAUGGAAGUCUGUAGAAAAGGAGCUUCAGAAUGGAAGGGAGGAUGGGUAAGGGAGGAAGAAGAAAGGGAGGGGAGAAGGGUAACUGGAACCAAAAGCUUACAUGACCUUAAGGAAGACCACACUGAGGCCAUUUAAGACACUAUCAGCCAAUGAAAUUCGCACAGGUAUAAUGUCAAUGCAACACUAACUUAACCAAAUGUCAGAAUGUAACUGCCAUGGGAAGCUAAGAAGGGAGCACCAGUGGAUAUGGCUGUUGGAGAAGAGCAAAACUGGAGUGAUGGGAGGUUGUAAGCCACCUAAUGUGGGAGCUAGGAACCUACCUUGUAUGCCUGGGACGAGGAACAAGUGUUCUUAACCACUUAGUCAUCUCCGGUCUCCUAUUUGACUCUUUAAAUUAUGUCUACAAACUAUAUUCCUAUUGAUUAAAUAUGAAGAAAAAUUUAGAAAAUUAAUUCAAAGAAACAAAAGCUAAACAGCAAUAUAUACUUUGAUAUUAAAUAAUUCAUCAUUCAAAAAUAUAUAAAUAAAAUAUUUUCAAUUGAAAGAAACAAAGAAAAGCCUUUAGAAAUAGUUCUCUUUUUGUUAAGCCUUUAUAUUUCUAAUACUGAUAAACAUAAAUAUACAAAAUAUGAAAGUCUUAAAAAUUAAAAAAGAAUAACUUAAAGCAAAUAAUUACUAUUAGUGAAGACAGACAGGAUCCAGUAAUUGUAACACUAGGAGGGUUGUAGGUUUGACCUUACUUACAAAUUCAUUAAUGAUCAGGAGGCAGUGCAAAUAACACAUUUAAUUAAAUUUGCUCAUUUAUCUAUUUUGGGAAGUACGAUUAACAGCAGUGAGAGAGAAGUAAUAUAAAAAGACAGAGAUGGAUUAAAAACAUUGGCUGAAAACCAACUAAGCAUCCUUACUCUAAUCUGGGAACGAGAGGUGUUACACGGCAGAGAAGUCUGGGUCUUCACUCUAAAGACGCUCAGCUUGAACUACUGGUGCUAGUGAGAGCAAGUUUUCAUAUAAUCUCACUGUCUUCAUUCACGGACACGGACAACUCAAAACAGUCUGUGGUUCCCAACUUUCACAGCAUCAAGCUGUGGUCUGUGACCUAGUUUUAUGAAUGGCAUAUGAGCAAAAGUAGUCCGUAUAAUCUCAAGAAGUAUCCUGUAAGGGAGAGAGAGGAUUCCCUUCCUUCCUCCUUUCUGCUGGGGGAAAUAUGGAUGGGAUAACUGGAGCUGCAGUGCUCUACGCCUACAGUGACUUUGGUUCUUAGGUUACCUUCCACCUCAGUGCUGGAAACCAAUCUUGCACUUCUAAAGUGACACUGUAAAAGAACAGCAUCCAUGGGGUUGGGGAUUUAGCUCAGUGGUAGAGAGCUUGCCUAGGAAGCGCAAGGCCCUGGGUUCGGUCCCCAGCUCCGAAAAAAAAAAGAACCAAAAAAAAAAAAAAAAAAAAAAAAAAAAAGAA
Molecule: non-coding RNA, 4193 nt
Organism: Rattus norvegicus (Norway rat)
Lineage: Eukaryota; Metazoa; Chordata; Mammalia; Rodentia; Muridae
Source: RefSeq, a predicted model, not a curated record